CCUCACCGUCUCCUCCAACUGGACGUCCCCCUCAGCCCUGACCCUCCACUGCCAGCGCUGCCCCCUGCUGGCUGGCUCGGCCUCCUUCCGCUGGUUCCUCAACUCCCAGCCCCUGGGCAACCGGGGCUGGGCUACCAAGAGCCAGCUGGGGGCUACCGUGAGGCUGGACCCGUCCCGGCGCGGGGCCUGGGGGCGCUGGGAAUGUCACCUCCUCGGCGCCUCCUCUCGGGGCUUUGAGUUCUGCCUGGAGCCCCCCCUCGGGGCAGGAGGCACAGGCUCCAGCUCUGAGUGGGGGAUCUGGGUUGUGGCGGCGGUUCUGGGUCUGAUCGGCGCAGGGCUGGGCGCUUGGCACCUGUGGAGGUGGAGACGGAUACGGGGCAGGAACCGAAGGAAUCAAAACAAAAAAGAGAACAAAACAGGAGCCCCCGGGCCCCGUUUAUGCCCCUUGGAAGAGCCACGGCUUGGAGCCAAAUCGACCGAAAGACGCCUCGUGCCCCAGAGUCGGGAAAGAAAAGUCCCAGGCACCCUGCUUUAUGCUGAAGUCCAGCACCCCCUGGUGGCUCGAGCCCCAGCCCCUCCCCCACACGGUGCCACGGUCUAUGCCACUAUUGUCUGACCCCCACCCACCCUGGCUCCGCUCCCCUCUCCUCUCCACCCCCUUCAUGAGUUGCAUUCACACCCCUGGCUCCCAGGUGAU
Long non-coding RNA from Terrapene triunguis (Three-toed box turtle), 697 nucleotides. RefSeq lists it as uncharacterized. Lineage: Eukaryota; Metazoa; Chordata; Testudines; Emydidae. The transcript has 5 exons. The record is from RefSeq and is a predicted model, not a curated record.